GAUGAACGCUGGCGGCGUGCCUAAUACAUGCAAGUCGAGCGAACAGACGAGGAGCUUGCUCCUCUGACGUUAGCGGCGGACGGGUGAGUAACACGUGGAUAACCUACCUAUAAGACUGGGAUAACUUCGGGAAACCGGAGCUAAUACCGGAUAAUAUAUUGAACCGCAUGGUUCAAUAGUGAAAGACGGUUUUGCUGUCACUUAUAGAUGGAUCCGCGCCGCAUUAGCUAGUUGGUAAGGUAACGGCUUACCAAGGCGACGAUGCGUAGCCGACCUGAGAGGGUGAUCGGCCACACUGGAACUGAGACACGGUCCAGACUCCUACGGGAGGCAGCAGUAGGGAAUCUCCCGCAAUGGGCGAAAGCCUGACGGAGCAACGCCGCGUGAGUGAUGAAGGUCUUCGGAUCGUAAAACUCUGUUAUCAGGGAAGAACAAAUGUGUAAGUAACUAUGCACGUCUUGACGGUACCUAAUCAGAAAGCCACGGCUAACUACGUG
This 497-nucleotide ribosomal RNA is filed under the name uncultured bacterium. RNAcentral's name for it is "partial 16S ribosomal RNA". It matches the Rfam family "Bacterial small subunit ribosomal RNA", at positions 28 to 507 of the family's 1533-position model. The record is from RNAcentral.